Molecule: non-coding RNA, 391 nt
Organism: Phascolarctos cinereus (koala)
Lineage: Eukaryota; Metazoa; Chordata; Mammalia; Diprotodontia; Phascolarctidae
Source: RefSeq, a predicted model, not a curated record
GAGGGAGCAAGUGAAAAUAUUUUGAGAUGCUGUAUUUGAAAGAGGUGUGAGGAAAUUUAUUGUUUCAAAUGUAAAUCAAAUCCAACACGAUUGAACACUUGGCACCAGGAAACCUUUCAAGUCUGAGAAGCUAAAGAAUGUUGAAGGUUGAAUAUCUCUCUCAGGGAUGGUCUUCUGGAAAGUUUCCAAAUCUCCAUGAACCAAUCAGCACUACCAUCAAGCAACAUGGAUUUACCGGAGUAUCAAGUGUGGGGAACAUCAGAACCCGACCUAGCUAGGAUGUAUAUAAUGUAUAUAAUAUAUACUGAUGUAUAUAAUCUCAGAUGGGUUUUUGUGCUUUUAGCUAAAAUGUUUACCACGUAAUUUGACUAAUAAUUUAAUACAAAAUUAC